CGAUGACAAAUAUUAACAAGAACUAAAUAGCCAAUCUUCCCGCUGAUGGUCUCAUUUACUUUUGUAGGUCAUAAAGAGGCGUCAGUAUUAAAUUGAGACUGUUCCAUAACCAGUUAAAAGUUCCUCACAGUAACUUUAAAGUGUUCUCACAGGUUUCUGCAUAUCGCCAAAGGACCCAUGUUCUGGUUAAGCGUAGAGUAAACGUCGUUACGAAACUCA
Sebastes umbrosus (honeycomb rockfish) is the source of this 219-nucleotide long non-coding RNA. RefSeq lists it as uncharacterized. The transcript has 3 exons. The record is from RefSeq and is a predicted model, not a curated record. Lineage: Eukaryota; Metazoa; Chordata; Actinopteri; Perciformes; Sebastidae.